CCGAUCAGGUUGUUGGUGAGGUAAUGGCUCACCAAGCCUUUUACCGGUGCGGGCCGUGAGAGCGGGAGCCCGGAGAUGGGCACUGAGACAAGGGCCCAGGCCCUACGGGGCGCAGCAGUCGCGAGAACUUUGCAAUACACGAAAGUGUGACAGGGCUAUCCCGAGUGCCAUCCGCUGAGGAAGGCUUUUACCCAGUCUAGAACGCUGGGGGAAUAAGGAGAGGGCAAGUCUGGUGUCAGCCGCCGCGGUAAUACCAGCUCUCCGAGUGGUGUGGAUGUUUAUUGGGCCUAAAGCAUCCGUAGCUGGCUGAGUUAGUCCCUUGUUAAAUCCACCGAAUUAAUCGUUGGAUUGCGGGGGAUACUGCUCGGCUAGGGGACGAGAGAGGCAGACGGUAUUCCUGGGGUAGGGGUGAAAUCCUAUAAUCCCAGGAGGACCACCAGUGGCGAAGGCUGUCUGCUAGAACGCGCCCGACGGUGAGGGAUGAAAGCUGGGGGAGCGAACCGGAUUAGAUACCCGGGUAGUCCCAGCUGUAAACGAUGCAGACUAGGUGUUUGGACGGCCACGUGCCGUUCUAGUGCCGCAGGGAAGCUGUUAAGUCUGCCGCCUGGGGAGUACGAUCGCAAGAUUGAAACUUAAGGGAAUUGGCGGGGGAGCACCACAA
This 661-nucleotide ribosomal RNA is filed under the name uncultured archaeon. RNAcentral's name for it is "bacterial SSU rRNA". It matches the Rfam family "Archaeal small subunit ribosomal RNA", at positions 221 to 884 of the family's 1478-position model. The record is from RNAcentral.